RNAcentral lists this ribosomal RNA (724 nucleotides) under uncultured Bacteroidales bacterium. RNAcentral's name for it is "bacterial SSU rRNA". It matches the Rfam family "Bacterial small subunit ribosomal RNA", at positions 28 to 740 of the family's 1533-position model. The record is from RNAcentral. Lineage: Bacteria; Pseudomonadati; Bacteroidota; Bacteroidia; Bacteroidales.
GAUGAACGCUAGCUACAGGCUAUACACAUGCAAGUCGAGGGGCAGCAUGGUCUUAGCUUGCUAAGGCUGAUGGCGACCGGCGCACGGGUGAGUAACACGUAUCCAACCUGCCGUCUACUCUUGGCCAGCCUUCUGAAAGGAAGAUUAAUCCAGGAUGGCAUCAUGAGUUCACAUGUCCGCAUGAUUAAAGGUAUUUCCGGUAGACGAUGGGGAUGCGUUCCAUUAGAUAGUAGGCGGGGUAACGGCCCACCUAGUCAACGAUGGAUAGGGGUUCUGAGAGGAAGGUCCCCCACAUUGGAACUGAGACACGGUCCAAACUCCUACGGGAGGCAGCAGUGAGGAAUAUUGGUCAAUGGGCGAUGGCCUGAACCAGCCAAGUAGCGUGAAGGAUGACCGCCCUAUGGGUUGUAAACUUCUUUUAUAAAGGAAUAAAGUCGGGUAUGCAUACCCGUUUGCAUGUACUUUAUGAAUAAGGAUCGGCUAACUCCGUGCCAGCAGCCGCGGUAAUACGGAGGAUCCGAGCGUUAUCCGGAUUUAUUGGGUUUAAAGGGAGCGUAGAUGGAUGUUUAAGUCAGUUGUGAAAGUUUGCGGCUCAACCGUAAAAUUGCAGUUGAUACUGGAUGUCUUGAGUGCAGUUGAGGCAGGCGGAAUUCGUGGUGUAGCGGUGAAAUGCUUAGAUAUCACGAAGAACUCCGAUUGCGAAGGCAGCCUGCUAAGCUGCAAC